UGGAAAUGAUGAAAUAGAGAUAACUGGGUGUUGAAUAUUGUAUGAUUGGAAAUUUUUAAUAUGUAAGUUAAGUAAUUAGUAAAAAUUUAAUACUUAAAGCUACUUAACAGAGAGAGAGAGUGAGUGUGUGUGUGUGUGUGUGUGUGUGUGUGUGUGUGUAGGCUAUGGAAAGGGGGCACUGACUGGUGAUGCUGAUAUUGGAGUGCAUCUGAGGCUGUUGUAGAAAUACAUGGGUUGUUGAUUACAACAUUGCCAAUGAUUAUAACCCAAGAACAGCUCACCUGAGUAGCCUAGCACCCUAAAAUCUCUAACAGGUUCAUUAAAUAUGGUCCUGUGAUCUGAUCCAG
Non-coding RNA from Camelus dromedarius (Arabian camel), 347 nucleotides. Ensembl annotates it as small Cajal body-specific RNA 7. Its record names the gene SCARNA7. NCBI's taxonomy places the organism in Eukaryota, Metazoa, Chordata, Mammalia, Artiodactyla, Camelidae. The record is from Ensembl.